This is a long non-coding RNA of Falco peregrinus (peregrine falcon), 15111 nucleotides long. RefSeq lists it as uncharacterized. The transcript has 11 exons. NCBI's taxonomy places the organism in Eukaryota, Metazoa, Chordata, Aves, Falconiformes, Falconidae. The record is from RefSeq and is a predicted model, not a curated record.
CUGUGGCGGGCCCGGGGCAGCGCUCCCGCAGUCUCCUUAGCGGCCGCGCCCCUUCUCCAGCGCGUUACCUUGAAUUAACUCCCGAAACACACAAAGUACGUUUAGAGAGGAGGCGUUGUUUUAUUCUGCGCAGGAUGCGAGGUGGAAGAUUUCCACAAGUCGAGCACACCUCCUAGGAUUCUUUACCAGAUAUUUAUACACAAAAGGUACAACUCUCCACCUCUCUAAUACAAUUAUUCCGCCUAUCUAAUACAUAUUCAUCGUGCUGAGCUCCCCAAGCCCGCGGCGCCUGCGUGGGAAUUGUGCUGAGCAAGCAAGGUCUGCUGCGCCUGCGCGGGGGUCUUGGGGGGCCUUUGGUGGUCCUUUGGGGGCGAAUAGCCCAGCUCGUUUGUCCUUUCGUGGUUGCGUGUCGUCUGAGGGCACCAGAGCUCUUGCUUACCGUGCCGACUUGUUGCUGAGAAGGUGGAUGUCCUUGGCCGAGCCAGUCUGUAACCCUGAGAGGUUCCUCACCUGUAACACCGGCAGCUUUUCGCUCACUGCCCAGACUUCUGAUAUCUUAGGUAUGCUUUACAUAUAACCUGAACGGUCCUUGGAUACCACGUGUGCCACAUUUCUGCAGAGAUCUGUCCCUAAGUUCUCUUGAGCUGUUAGUUUGUUUUACCUAAAUAUUUAAAAUAUAACCAAAUGUAUGUCUAUGAGGUAGGUUUCCCCCUUUGGAAGUUUCAAAUACUUCAUUCUCCCUUCCAUUCAGAACACCAAGAAGUUGAAUUAAUAUAUUUCCAUUUACCUUCCACAGAGUUUUUCCAACUUGUUUUUGUACUUGGCUGGGGGCAUUCAACCUUUUUUGUCUCAGUUGUCAUCACUGUCCCAUAUGUCUCUGUCUCUCCAUCACAGGCCACAAGAGUCUUCAUAAUACCUGAUACAUUUCUGUCUCGUAAGUGUAACACAUUUCCCCAGUUUUAUUAGUCUGAUCUGGUACAUAAGUUAUAUUUUGUGUCAAAUAGCAAGUGCUAUCUUCAGCUAGGGCCUUUCUGAGAGCGACUAUUAGAGUGUCCCUUAAUGGGAAAAUUCCCCAUUCUAGAGGAUUUUUACUAGAUUUUGGCAAUGGAAGGCAUGUGGUUAUACUCGUCACACUCUGUAAUCAUCUGAAUCCUUGCUAUAGGUUGGUGGUCCUUUCAAAUCUAUUCUUUUCAGGCCACGUUCCCAAGAUGUGUUCUUCUACCGCCCUUAUUGCUGCCAGAUUUGCCCAUCGACUCCCAAUUGCUUCAGGAGCAUGCCCAAAUUGAUGGGCUUUACAGUGCAUUAUUGCCACUUGUUUAGGCAAACUUAUGACCUGUAAUAAUUUUCUUAUUAGUUCUCCAUAUUUAACUGGUGUUCCUUCUGACAAAAGGAGACCCCUUUCCUUCCAAAUUGCUCCAUGUGCAUGGACUACUCUGAAAGCGUUUAGAAUCUGUCCAUAUAUUCACAGUCUUCCCUUCUGCUACUUGCAAGGCUCUUAUUAGCACAAUCAACUCCACCUUUUGAGCAGAAGUGUUAGCAGGAGGGGCUUUUGCUUCCAACUCAUCUUCUCCAGAAAUAACUGCGUUUUCUGCCCUUCAAAUUCCAUCAGUCACGUGGCUGCUCCUGUCUGUAAACAAAUUCAAGUCAGCCGAAUCCGUAGGUAUAUUUUUCAGAUCAAUCCUACUUGAAUAUAGCUGUUCAAUUGUUCUCUAACAAUCAUAUUCCGAUUUACUUUCCCCAGACAACAGUAGUAGAGUGGCUGGAUUCAAAGUGAGUGUCAUUCUCAGUUUCCACAUCAUGGAAUGAUGUGAACAACCAAUGUUGUCCCCCUUUUUGUUUCAAAACUGUUGUCACCACAUGACACCUGCACUGUUAUUUUCUGUCCCAAAGUAAAUUUUCUAGCUUCCUGUAUGAAUAGCAUGGUCACAGCAACGGCACUUAAACAGGCAGGCCAUCCUUUACUUGAUCUAAUUAUUUGGAAAAAUAUUUUCCAAGAAAAUCUUGGAUCUUUUUCCAAGAUCCAGUCCUUUGAACUAAAACUCCAAGUGCAAUGUGCUGUCUUUCAUUCACAAAAAUCUCAAAAGGUUUUUCCAAAUUAGGAAAUCCUAAUGCUGAUGCUGACAUCAGGGCUUGUUUUAACUGAUGGAAAGCUGUCUGGCACUCUUUGAGUCCAUUCAAGAAAUUCUGCACUUUUCAUUGCCUCAUAAAGGGGUUUUGCAAUCAGUCCAAAGUUGACAAUCCAAAGGCGACAUCAUCCGGCCGUUCGUAGAAAUGCUCUCCAUUCUCGUUUAGAUAACAUCUGGCAAAUUGCCUCCUUUCUUUAGGGACCAAGGCUCCGUUGGCCUUGGGUAAUGGUGAACCCCAAAUAAAUCACGGCCUUUUGUGCAAUUUGUGCCUUUGAAACUCGUUAUCCUGUGCUCCUAGAAAAUUCAAAAGGUCAAUAGCAUAUCCUAUAGAAUCCUCUAGUGUUUGUGUUCCCAGAAGGAGAUCAUCCACAUACUGCAAUAAAGUUAUUUCUGUAUCCUCCUUUUUCCACCCUUCUAAUUCUCUGGCGAGUCCAUUUCCAGAGAUUGUUGGGCUAUUCUUAAAUCUCUGUGGAAGAAUGGUCCAGCAUAGCUGGGUCUUUCAACCAGUUUUUGGAUUCUCUCACUCAAAGGCAAGUAUCUUUUUACUUCCCAGCUCCACAGGGAUGCAAAAGAAGGCACCUUUUUAAAUCUAAUACAGUAAACCAUCCAUCAAUCUCUUUAAUUGUUGUCAGUAAAGUAUAUGGGGUUUGCCACAGCUGGGUGGACAUCUGGCACAAUUUGAUUUACUGCCUUCAAGUCUUGGACCAAUCUAUAUUCAUUCAAAUCAGGUUUCUUUACCAGCAAAAUUGGGGUGUUAUACUCUGAUUGGCAUUCUCAUGGUAGUCCACGAGUCAUGAAAUUUUCUCUUAAAGGCUCUAAACCCCUUCUUACUUCUAGCUUAAUAGAAUAUUGCUUUUGUUUUACCAGUUGUGCUCCAGGUUUUAAUGGGAUGAUUACCAGUUCAGCUAUGUCAGAGUGUCCUGGGAUCCUGGAGGACCAUACCAGAGGGUUUACUGCAUUCAGUAGCUCUUCCAGGAUCAUUUCAGGUUCUGGAGUUUCUUGUUUCCUGUAACAUAAACACUUGUGCUUCCAGGCCUUUCUCUUCUGGUGUUUGAACCUGUAUAUUCCUUUUUCAAAAACAGUUCAUGCACUUAGUUUACUGAGUAAAUCUCUUUCCAACAAAGGCAUCAGGCAGUCAGGAAUGUAUAGAAAUUUAUGAGUAAAGACUUUGCUUCCAAUUCUACACUUAUUUGGUUGGAAGAAUGGCCUCACCUCCUUUUUCCUCUAUGGCUUAAAUAAUACAUAGAUUUUGUCUGCUCAAUUUACCUUUACAGGUUGUUAAUACUGAACAAGCUGCCCCUGUAUCUAUUAAAAAAUCUAUUUUCUCCUCCCCCAACUUUAAGGUAACCAGGGGUUCUGUUGGGGAAACUUUUGAUUCAUCCCCCAGUCCUGUCAAUCUGAAUCUUGAUCCAGGGUAAGCAAUUCUGCCACCUCAGGAUUCUCCUGUGUCCUUACAAAAUUUAUUGGAAAUUGAUUUUGAGGGCAUUCCCCCUUCCAAUGCCCUUUUUGUUUACAAAAAGCAUGCUGGUCUCUAUCCAAAGGUAGGCUAACCCCAGCUCUGAAGGGGGUCCCGUUAUUUUUUCCCAUAGGAGGGUGACUUGGCCUGCCUCCUUCAUUUUGUCUUCUCCUAUUUUGAUUGCCUUCUGCUAUUGCUGCAGCCAAUACUUGAGAUUUUCUGUUUUCCUUCUUAACCUGAUCUUUCUCCUGUCAUUUCUUCUCUUCUUCUCUACUGUUGUACACUUUCCAUGUUACCUCUAAUAACUUAUUGACAGAUCCUGCAUCUGCUCCCUCUGUCUUUUGCCAUUUCCUCCUAAUGUCAGGAUUCAACUGUCCCACAAACAGAGUCACAAAUGUCAGUGCAUCAGUUUCCCUCUCUGGAUCCAAAUCUGUCCAUUUCCUAGCCACUUUGCAUAAUCACUCAAGGAAAGCUGAUGCAGUUUCAUCUUGUACCACCUGAUAUAAUUCUGAAAAAAAAAAAUCAUUUUCAGUAUCACAUUCUUUACACCGAAUAAUAUCAGUCUCUGAUAUUCACUCAGCAAUAAUCUUUGUGCCUGAUUGUUAGGGUCCCAGUUGGGGUUGGUGGUGGGAAAAUCAUCCUCAAGUCUUCCUGCCUAUGCAUCCUGAGCAUGAACCCUUUCUGCUUCUUCCCCUUGAUCACUACCUCCCUGAAUGUUUUCCUGUCUUGGAGACACUAACAGUUCUACAUCAUCUUCCUUCUCUACCAGUUCCUUAUACUUUUCGUAUCUUUUACCAAUAUAUUACAUGCAGAACAACAACAUCUAAGCGGUUUGUCUUGAACUUGUUCUAAAGCCAAAACAUUUUAAUCUUUUGUUAUCAAUCCACAGUCCAUUCUGCUCUUAUAAUUCGUUUACAAUGUAAGAAAGAAAUCCACGUGCUUCAUCUCAUUUUCCUUCCCUUCUACAAAACAACAUCAAUUUGUUAUAGUAUUAUAAUUCAAAUUUCCAUUCGUUGACCACUUCUCUUGGUCUUCCAAUAUGUAUACCGGCCACCAUUUGUUACAAUAUUCUGUGAACUUUUUAUGUGUUAACAGAUCACCUCCAAACAUAUUCCAGUGUUCCAAAAUACAACCCAGUGGGGAAACCUUCAGUAUUCCCCCUCGCUCAGAAGAAGUCAAGUUUUCCAUUUGUAAAUAUUUUCCAAUAUGUCACAACAGUCCUUUAAAAUUGCCAAUAAUGGAACAAAUACAAGUACACCAAGCCAAAACCUAAUUCUGCCUGCUCCAGUAUCACCAUACUAACACAGGAGAAUACUAUCAAGUAGCAGCUGCAAUGACUACCAAUUUGUACCUUCAAUGUGUACGCCUUACUUGGGGAAUAUCAGAAUAACAAAGUCUCUAUCCCAGUUUCAAUCGCUCACUUAUCACCACCAGGGAAUUGCAAGGGGAGUUCCCAGAAAAAUCCUCUGCUGUGCACUGGAGUCCAGCUCGUGAUACCUGCAGCAGUAGCAAGUGUCGAUCAAAGUCCGGUCUCAAAAGCAGAGUCCCAUCUGGGGUGCCAAAAUUGUUACCUUGAAUCCAGAAUGACUCCCGAAACACACAAAGUAUGUUUAGAGAGGAGGCGUUGUUUUAUUCUGCGCAGGAUGCGAGGUGGAAGAUUUCCACAAGUCGAGCACACCUCCUAGGAUUCUUUACCAGAUAUUUAUACACAAAAGGUACAACUCUCCACCUCUCUAAUACAAUUAUUCCGCCUAUCUAAUACAUAUUCAUCGUGCUGAGCUCCCCAAGCCCGCGGCGCCUGCGUGGGAAUUGUGCUGAGCAAGCAAGGUCUGCUGCGCCUGCGCGGGGGUCUUGGGGGGCCUUUGGUGGUCCUUUGGGGGCGAAUAGCCCAGCUCGUUUGUCCUUUCGUGGUUGCGUGUCGUCUGAGGGCACCAGAGCUCUUGCUUACCGUGCCGACUUGUUGCUGAGAAGGUGGAUGUCCUUGGCCGAGCCAGUCUGUAACCCUGAGAGGUUCCUCACCUGUAACACCGGCAGCUUUUCGCUCACUGCCCAGACUUCUGAUAUCUUAGUGCCCACUCAGGACUUUCCACUGUGGGAAUAGGCUGCGUUUUACUACAGCUCCACUGGAAGGCUGGUAAAGGCAAAAGGAGAAGCCGGGUGUACGGUGGAAGUACACCUGCAUAACCAGAGCGGUGGAAGAGCACAGGUUAAGCAGCUGCAGCCAUCAAGGAGAAAGAGAAAUCAUGGGCUACCAGCACUUCCAGAAUCUCAAUGGAGAUGCAUGUUUUAUCAACCAGUAAUUUGGAGAAAAGUUAUGUUCCCAGUGGAAGCCAAACUCCUGAGUUGAAUAGGAUGAGAAGUGGUUGUGGAGUUUGGAAUCUCUUCCAUGGCCAGACUUCCUCAGGAAAAUGGCCUUUCUUCUGAACUGAAAACCUCUGUGCAACGCAGCCCACCCAGACACACAUCAGCAGGUGGAUGCCAGCUCUGCACACCCAUCCAAUCCGACGCAUGCAGAACCAGCACAGGACAUGGAGGACCACAGCAGGUAGCCCCAGUUUCCUGAACUGCUAUUAACAACAUGAUUGUUUCACACAUCCCUCUUAAAGACCUGCCUGAUUAUAGGAUUUGAACUGUGGUUGUCAGAAGUCUUAGCUAAGGGAAGGUUGGUCCACGUGGCUUGGCUGAGUGAUGCUUUGCUUUUGAACAGCUCCUGACUCCAGAGAGAGUGCGUUUCUCAUUUUGCAAAGCACUUAUCUCCUGCUGGCUCAUAGGAAGUUUCUGUAGACUCUCUCUCCACUGAAGGUCAGAUUUCAUGUAUCUUCUGAGAUCCUAGAACCAGGGUUCUGCAGUGCUAGAAAAGCAGAAAGGAGAAGACUAUAUGAGGUUAUCAACAUUGAGCAAAACAGCGUUUAUGGCUCAGACGGCAAUUUCAAUUAUCCAGCACUUAGGCAUCAAGAAGAUUCAGAUAAGAGGUCUCAGAUUUAGCUCCUCUCCUCUCUGCAAGUUAAUGUGCCACUUUUCCUUUUUUUUUUUUUUUUUUUUUUUUAAGCAGACGAUCAAAUCUGUAAUAGCAAAUUGCAAGUUAAAAGGCAAAGAUUGUCUCUGGAGAGAAUGGAAAGAACCAUUUUGGUUCUAGGGGUCAAAUUGCCAAAAGAAGAGGUGUCACCACCAAGCUGAAAGGAGCUGUCUCCCUUCCUUCCCUGGAGUAUUUAUACAGUAUAGUCACAUGCUGGAAGGAGAAAUGCAGAAGAACCUGAAGCUCUUUGAGUGAAAUAGCGCAAAGCACCUACGCAAGGUACCAGUGGUCACCUAUGGAACAUCCCCUUGGAGCCACCACAUGUUGCCAUCACUAGACGGUGACAUCUCCCAAGCUUUGGAGCAGACUUGGUUGCUGAUCCAGAAGAGGGCAAUGGUGACACAUCCCCACUGAUGCUCUGAGCACCAAAUCAGCUGAGGACAGCCACUGUAGGAAUGUAGCCAAAUAGCCAAACCACCUUGGCUAGCAGAUCUGUAUGUUCCUGGCUGUUUUGUGGCAAGCAGAUUGAAGUGGGAGGCAACUUUCAGCUACUGUCUCAGCAACACGUGAGUUUGAGAAGUUACGUGCAGGGGAAGAUGAAUUUUCACUGAGGGAGUGACUUGGAUCCUUUGCAGACCCCAUUGAAGCCAGUAGAUCUGAAGACAGGUGCUCUCCAUCCAUGAGGCCAUGAGCAUGGGUGAGCCUUCCAGUGGCUACAUACCCUCCAGAGUUCUCAUCACCAUCAGUCAAGCUCUUCCCCACAAAACAGUAGCUGCAGAAACUCAAGAAAUACUGCUAAGCGUACUGCUUUUUAAUUUCAGUGCUGCCACAGUCACUGAUGUCCUCACUAAUCCUCUUGCAGCAGCAGGCUGCUAAUCAGAAACUCUUUGCUCGCCACUUUGGCAUCAUUCUGGGAAGCCAAUGGAGCGCAGAGAUGCUCAAUUCCUCCCCCUCCACACACCUUCCAUUGUCUUCAGGACUGACAGCUCUGAUGUGGAGCAGUGAUAAAAGCCAGCUGAUGCUGUCAAGGCCUGGUACAAUUGCACCGCAGGGAAAAAGGCGACUGGCUCUGACUCAUCCUAGCCGCCUGGAGCUCAAGAUACCUUGCACACGUGCUGUCUCCUGGCACUGGCAAGGCUCAUCACAGAGCAAUGCACCUUCGAGCCCUCCUAGGAGCUGAAGCAUUCCUGCAACCCAGCGUCUCUGAUCUGCCUCCCACAGCGAUGCAGGAGAAAGACCAGGGAGUGGGACAGGACCUGUUGCGAGGACCUUGAGCUGAAAAGGUCUGAUUUACAGGUGAGAGGAAGGAAGACAAUUUCAUGUGUUUGUGGCUCAUGCGGGGAGCAGUUCGUGAGCUCUGGGGAGCUCCUCUCUGGCCUGGAGAGCAGGGAGCGAGCGCACAGCUCAUGUCGGUGCUGCCAGGGCAGCGGGACUGUCCCCGCCAAAGAGGCAGAGAGCUGAGCUCUUUGUUCAUCCCUGCCCUGCUACGAAGCAAGAGAAAAAUACUCCUGCUGAGCACAGCCAGAAAUAACCCAGGCCGCCAGCAGCCAAAAAGCUUCCAAGGGGGAAUAUUAAAGUGCUGGGAAUUUGGCCUCUCAGCCUGUGCUUUGGGCUCCUCUGCUGUUGUAAUGUCCCAGGCAGGAGAAGGCAGACCCUGAACGCAGUCCUGCUCCUGAUGGCCAGGAACCAGCACCUCAACAGGGAACAGUUCACUCCCGGGUCACCCCAAGACCCACCCAGCUCCUGUUUUCAUCCCAGUCUUCUCCAGCACCAUCAUCGUCACAGCUCCUUCACCAGACACUGGUGAUGGACAGCACUUCCCCUGUGAGAUGUGCUUCAGGGGUUGUGAUGCCCCAGCACCCCUCGGGAUCCUCCGCUUUGCUGCAUCGCUGGCUUGGAUGCCCCUGAGAUGAGGCCACCUUGCAGGGCCAGAGCUUGGGUGUCUGUAAGGGGAACUUAAUGAGGAUGAAUGAGCUUGAGUGGUCCCAUUGCCCAUGGGAGGGAGGAUUUGGGGGCAGUUGAAAACAGGCCUUCUCUGUCUCUGGAAAGGAUGGCAGAUUCCUGCACUAUCCAGAUGGGAUUUGAGUUGCACCGUGAAGAAAAUGAUCUCCCUGUGGCACAUGUCAGAGGCUGCAGGGAAGAUAAAUGUUGCUUCGUUUCUCUGGUGCUGCUGUGUGUUCACCCACAGGGAUCUCCUGGCCAGCUUCUCUGUAUGUCAGCAUCUUAUCACCACCCCAGAGCAAGGGCAUUGCGUAGCAGAUGCUCCAUGGAGGAGGAGACACCUUGUGAUGCAGCAACAGCUCUGCUGCAGCUCCUGGGGUGGCUCAAGGCUGCUCCAUCCCUUUGCUCACGGAUGUAGCCCAGCACACUGCUCGGCGUCCAGCAACCCACGGGCAGGCUGCAGCCUUUGGAAACUUCCCGUGCCCCUGCACAUCCCAAAUGGCCCCUCUGGUGCAGGACACCAAGAUGGAAUGAACCGAGUGGUCUGGGCACAUGCAGGAGGUCACUGAAGACACACUGGCUUUGCAAAACAGAUCCCGUGUUGGAUACAGGAUCAUCUAUUUAUUUUAAGUUUUAUAUGGGGCAUUUUCCCUUGCCAGGAGCUGGAGAAUAGAGGACCCGGGUACCAUCUGCCCAGGGGACUGGUGAAUCAUCCUAUUUUCCAGUUAACAGCACUUGUUUGCUUUGGGAGAUCUCCAAGUUAAGGGGGAAGAAAAAGAAAACCCAACCCAUGGAUCUUUUCCCACACAAUAAGAAAAAUGCUUUUUCUUUUCUUUUUUUUUUUUCUUUUUUUUUUUUUUUUUACAAAAGCCAGUGUCAACUCUGCUUUUACUUAGCAGUGGGCUGGAUAAAAAUAGACAGUGAAGUCAUGACGCCUUCAGAAGAAGAACCAGGUAUGGCCUGGGGAGAGGGGGUGAGUGAAGUCAGGCUUGGAGGAGAGGGACAACAUGCCAGCACGAUGGAGGCAGGCAGAGUUUUUGUCCCAGGACUGUGCUGGGACAAGGAGAGCUGCUUACCCUGGUGCCUUGUGAUUUCCCUGGCACGCUGCUGGGAGGCAGGAGGCUUUUUGGUGGAUGCACCAGAGUUUGGGCUGUUGCUCAUGUGAUGCAGAUGGGGCUGUGGCCCAGCAAACACCAGGAGCUCUUUGCAAAGCCGAGAGCUUGGGGCAGGCUGGAAAGCAAUGGCAGCAGCAGGGAAGGGAAGCCAAGGGGUUGUGCUCUUGCUUUCUCCAGGACCAUAUUGCUGCAGCCUUCUCUCUUAGGUUCCUGCUCAGAUCUGGCUUUUUUUCCUGUUUUAUCCCCGUGCCAGGCUGUGAGCACGCUGGGCUGUUUGGAUGGACUGUGCAUGUGAGGGACUGAUGUCUCCUGCUCAGAGCAGGGGCCCUGGAAGCCACUUGGCAACCUGGAGCAUGAGGAGGUGCGGCUGAUGCCCACAUCUCCAUUCUGCUGGUAGGAGGCUCCUGCAGCAAAGCCUUCAUGGGGCUUUUUGUGUAGGGUUGGGGCAUGUCCUGCGUUCAGCCAGGCUGCUGGUGAAGAUCCUCUGGAGCAGAGUCUUUGCAGUAUUUCUGCAUCACAGGAGAAAUCAAGGAUCUGAGGGCAACUUUACAGCCCCUCAAGGCAAUGUGAAAGCCGAGCAGGUACUGGUGUAUCCCCCCCUGCAGGGCUGGCUUGUGUCAGAUGUGUCAUGGGUGAGAUGACCCUAAAUUGCUGGUCCUCCCCCAGCCCUCAUUGCAAUGGGACUCUGUGGUGUCCCCUCGGUCACCACACAGCUCUGGCUCUGUCCUGCCAAAGCCACAGCUACUGCGACUUCGUACCCUUGUGACCAAACACCGACUUAGGUCACAACUGAAAUGAGUUUGGAGGGCCUCAGCAUGCUUUUCCAUGGGUAUUUCUUUACAUGGUUGGAAACACCUUGGUAACUGCAAGGAGGUGCCAAUUUUGUGUAGUAAAAGGAUGCUGCACAGCAGGGGUGAUGUGCCCUGCCAGAACGGGGCGGGGGGGGACAGAGCUUCAGACUUUCAGCAUAUGAGGUGAGAGAUUUUUUGCCCUUCCACUUAAGCAAAUAAAAACUUCCAAGGAAAAAAUAUUGCCUGUGGAAACUUUAGCCUCGCCCACAAGGAAGGAACCUUUUAUCAACAAGAAGAUUCACAUGGUGGGGAAAAACCAUGUCCUUUUCUGCUCAGCACCAAAUGCUUCUACCCGCUCCCGGACGCUGAGCCACAGUUUCUCUGCAGCAGGAGACUGGAGAGGUUCGAGGGGAAUAUCUGCAUUUCUCCCCGAUCAGUCACUGGAACAAGCAUUAUCACUGGAACAACGGGCUCAGCCUGGCCCGCCUUGCCAGAGCGGCUCCGCUGCAGCACUCCCGGAUUUAUUUUUGUCCGGGCUUGGAGCGGGUUGCGGAGAUCAGGUGAUGGUGCCCGAGGAGCACUUGGCAUGGCCUGUCCUGCCGCUGUGUGUGCACGUCUGUGGGAGUAACGAGCAGACAGGGAUGAUGGAGCGGGGCUCGGCAGGCGGAGUGGCUGUGUUUGUGUUGCUGGAUCCUCUGCUCUUGGCUCAGCCCACGCUGGUGACCAGCUCCCAGGAGAAGGGAUGCUCUCUCACAGUGCGGGGACCACUGGUGCUCCCAUUUGACCUGGCUUAUAGCUUUGCAGUGCAGUCUGGGGAAUCAAAACCAGCGACUGUGCUUUGGCACUGGUAUUAGGACCUGGAAAUUAGUUUCUGAUGGAAUCGAGCCAUGCGCUUUAAGGGAGGUGACCAAGGAAACACACAAAAGACUGUGGCAGAGUCCUUUCCCAAGGACCAGUGCUAUGUCUCCAGCUCUGAGCUUGCCUCCUUUCUAUAUGGUUUCCAUACUGCUUGAACAGUGGCCGAGAACCCAGUUCAUUCCCAGUGCCCCCAUGGUGUCCCAGAAGAGCAGUCAGCCUGGCUGAUAUGGCUGAGGUAACCUUUGAGAUGGCUAGUUUGGCAAGGCAGCCAAAUCUCAGCAGUCUUGGCCACAACAAUAAGUCCUGGGGGUCCCUGGGACACAUCAAAUCUGAGCUUCUCAGUGGCUCCAGAAUGUACCACGAUGCAGGGGCCUGGAGCACAAGCUGGGUUUAUGGUCCUGCUUAGGCUGGGGGAUGCUGGGCUUGGGUAUUUCCCCUUUGCUCUCUCUCGGUGCCAUGGGCAUACGGUACAUUCCCAGUGUGCGGUGGUCAGCUGUGCUGUGCAGACCGGGCUAGCAUCCAAGCCAUGCAGAGCUGAACCUCCCAACCUUUGCUAUACAUCAUCCCAUAAUCCAGGUCACACCAGUGCUGGAUUGCGAUGUGUUCAAAGCCUGGAUCAGAGCCGUCUGUAGGGUGAACCAGUCCCAGCCUGGUCAUGGUCCUGACCAGGGAGUUUUGGAGCCUACUUCCCCCUGACCCCCAAAUAUCUUCUUCCAAAAGGACUCAGUGAAGCAGCUCCAGCAAGGAGCCAACCUCAGGCUGCGGCAUCUGCAAUGCUCUAAGUCAAAACAUGCCCCAGCAGUACAGCUUGGGCUUAGGUCUCCAGAAGCGAUGUGAAGAUACCUGCAGGGGUUCAGGGACACAUGCCAGCAUCUAUGGACACAGGGACACCUUGCGCAGAGGAAACCAUCCUGGCUCCAUCCCCAGCCCCUUCUCAGAGGCAACUGUGGCCACUGCUGGCAGGUUCACCCCCUGCUUUCUCCAUCAGCUGGAAACAAUCUGCAUCGCUGGAGGCUUUUAUUUCCCAGGGGGCUGUGAAGAGAGAGCAGCCUGGAGUUAAUCAAAGAUUGGGGUGUGCACAGGAGCAGCCAUGGCUGGAGAAAGCUCACAGGCUUCUGCACUGGAGUGGGGUCAGAGCUGCACCGGGGUCUGGGAAGACGGGGUAUGAGGAGGGCCGGGGGUUUGUUCAGCGAGUGGCACCAUGGGGACAUGAGGAACGAGACCUUAAUUUUUCAGUUGUGGGCAGAGGAGAGGGACCAGGGUGCUGUGCCCACAGUUGGGGGUCCAGGCAGUGCUAAAGGCAUGUGUAGCAUCACUUGAUGUGCAUGAGUGGCCCAGAGCCCUGUCCUGUGACUCGAUGCACGGGUGCAGGCUGACCUCAAAGGGAGCCCAGUGCUUUGUGGCAGAGGCUGGGGCUCACCCUGAGCCCAGGACUAUUCAAGCUGAGGUCUGUGAGCAGCACACUGUGAACGUCACCCUCUGUGGGUCAGGCCAUCCUGCAAAGAAUCCCCUUUUAUAUAAAUCCCAGCACAUGAUGUGAGAGUGGAAGGAGCCUACUCUGCCCCAGCAGGUCAUUUCAGGCUUGGCUGAGCUUCUUUCCUCUUGAGGGGAUGCUUGCCAGCAUCUCGGAAAUGGCACCGGUGGGAUGUGCAGCCCAGGCACAGCACUGUCGGUCAAGGACCUGCUCUAUGCUGCUCAGAGCAGUAAAUCCCUCUUGCAGCAGGAGGAUGAGGAUGGACAGUGUGGGAGCAGCUCCCUCUGCCAGCCCAGCACUGUCCUCACUGAGCAGGAGGCAGCGGUACCCGCUCCCACGUCAGGAACUCAUGACUGAGUUCUCAUGUGCAGCAGGGACACGGUGACAAUCCUGGCCUCGCCUGCUGCUCCCUGUGGUUUCUGUGGCUUGUUGUCAUGUGUACAACAGAUGAUUUAUGUUGAUGCUGGGUCUCCAGGGUACGCUUUAUGGCUUGUGGCAUAUGGAAAUCUAUGGACCCCUCUGGCAACAGUUGCGUUGAGUCUAACACAGCUCCAAGGCACUGACCCUGCUGGUGCCUCCCAGCUGCGAUUCCCUGGAUCACGGUGUUUGGAUAUCUCUGAUGUUGAGAUCCAAGAGCUUGUGUUCAUCCACAGGACUGGAAGCACCCAGUGGAAGGGGUGCAGGCACAAAGUACCAUCCUCUUCUGCACACUCGGCGUAACCCUUACAUCGCUGUGUGGAGGAGGGACACAAACACGCACACAGACGCAAAAUUGUGGAUAUCAGCCCAUCAGUCUUCCUGCAGGGAAGAUUACCAGGCUGCUCUGCUGGGUGAAAUUCUGUGGACAUUUAGCCCACAGGAGCUGGCUGAGUUGCAUGUGAGGUGCAUCCAGGUAGGAAUUGUACCAGGGGUCCGACACACACCCCAGUUGCUAGACGGUCAUGGUCGAGGCAGCGCAUCUUUCUGGGCUAAUUAGGGAAAGUAUCAGAGACCUUGUAGCCUAACAGUGUGAAGCAGCCAAGGCUGACAGGCCAGGGCUUCUCCUCUCACUCUGCUCAUGUUCCACUAAUUGCAGCUCUCCCUAAUUAAAAGUCCAUGAUGUGGCUUUGAUGGCUGCAAGCCAGGUCCCCCAGGUGAGCCCUGGGGCAGAUACUUCACAGCAGGGAGGGAUAGGAUCAUCCCUAGAGCCAGUACUGAGCCACGGUCAGGUGCUGCAGAGGAGCCGAGCAGCCAGGAACAUCCUCAAGAGGAGGAACAAAAUCAGAGGCAGCCUUGCCAGGGACACGGGGCAGCCAGGGGAUACCAUGGUCCCUGCGUUGUUCUGCUGAGCUGGAGUGAAAUGGUCUGUGCCAGCUGCCAAGCCGCUUUCCAGGUGGCAGUGGUGCCUCUGCAAACCACAGGGCUCUGGGAGCUGGGGCUCUGCGGUGGAGGGACCAAACCCCACGCCGGACUCCGCCACUCCCAGGGGAAAAGCAGGGCCAACUCGCUGCCAGGCACUUGAAAUAAGACAAAGUAAAAGCUGGGUGAUCUUUAAAAGCACGGUUUCCUGUUAUCUUGCUGGUUGCUGAUCUAACAGCUCUUUCUCCUUCUUUAUUUCCAUACGAGGACAACUCAGUUUUGGUUCAGGUGUGUCUUCCCAUUGGAUAAUAAUCUCUCCAAGCAAACUCAUCCUGAGCAAAGCCAGGAGGAGCACCCAGAUGCCAGCACGAAUGUCUUAUGAGCUGCGGACUUCCCCCUACCAUCUGAGUGCUGUUAGCAGCCCGCAGCGCUCCUCCUGCCGGCACCGACUGCCUGUUCUUGCCAUCGCCCCCACAGCCAGCAUCACUACGGUGAUGCCGUAUGGAGAGCUCGGCGGAGAAGGUCUUGCUGGCCGGGCCAUGGCCGGUGACCUUCUCCAUCCCUCCUGCAGCAGGGUUCCUCUGCCAUCCAGGAACCUUCAGGGGCGCAGGGACCUGCCUUGCUCCAGGGCUUGCCAGCAGCCUCCGAGGCUCCUUGGGGUUGCCCCCGUACCCGCGUGCUUGGCCUGAUGCAAGGCACAGAAGGGGCUUGGGGAUGAAAUCCAGGUUCAGCCCCCUUGGGUUGGGGCAGGCUCCUCGGGAGGGCAGCUCCAGCCAAAUAAAAGCCAUCCUGGGGGUUCAUGGAUAACUGUGGUGCUGAGGGAUGUGCAGCACCCACCCAGGCAUGGAGCAGGGUCUCAAGUUAUUAAUUACCUGGCCCAACCCCCGCAGUUGCCCCACCUGAGAAAAGCCAUCACACCCAGCACAUCCUUCAUAUUAGAAUCAGUUUUAUUUAGCAAAUCUCCAGAGCAUUAAAAUAAAACUCCCAUAAAACAAG